GCGCGGCGUCGCCGCCGGAGAGAGAGAGAACCCUUUCGUCAGUUGGGUCUCGGCCGCCGUCAACGUCAAUACGACGAAGGCGCACGAGAGCACGUCGCCUCGGCUCCGGUUGACGCCGAGGUACAUUCGACGUUCGUCGACGGGAGAAACGCGCACCUGGCCAUUUGCAUCUCUCGCCACGCAUCCCCAUUGUCUCUCCUCCCAGUCUCUCCGUUUUUCACCCUCUGGACGUACAGUCCAUUUGUCUAUCUUUCUCUGUCUUUCUUCCUCCCCCCCUCUCUUUCUGUCUCUCUGUCUCUCUCUCUCUCUUUCUCUGUUUCUUUCUUUCUGCACUCUUCCUCCAUGCACUCCAAUACGCUCGAAUUUCAAUCUACCGGUGUAUCGCGAGCGGUACUACGUUCAUGUGUGUCGCGAGUGGGCCGAUAGUGCACAACACAUAGCGAAGGACGCUAUCUCUCAGGUGUGAUAGGGAAAAAGCUAGGUUCGCGUGCUCGAUGCAGAGUGUAACCGGCGAGGGUAUGGCCGACGGUCGCUCCGUUUCUUUCGGCACAGUCCUCACCGGAGUGCCCGCGAGUGCGGUCUCCGAGUGCGACGGCGGCGGACGCGCCGGUUGUGAAUAAUAGAAGAGAGAGUGUUCCAUGCUAUUAGAACAUCGGUCCCAAUAUCUAAUUAUUCUACGAGACUUACCCGAGCGCAACCUUCUCAACGAUCGACAAUCAAUUUCGUGUUCUGGUCUGGAUUCUGUAUCGCCGACGUCAUCAAGAGCCUCAUUCAUCGUCACUGGAAAUUACGCGAUACGUCAAACGCACUCGUACGAACUUCAUUUACAAACAGAUAUUUAAAAAAAAAAAAAAAUAAACGGAACGUAUUCCAGUGUAAGUGUAAUUCCACGAGUGAAUGCGUGAAAUCGUGGGUCGAGUAAUGAGUUAUUUGAACGAGAGUGCAAAUCGAAAGCUCAUUCGUGUCAGCCGAUCGUAAUGUACGAUUAAAGCGGAAGAAACGACAGUAGCGGAACACGUUCGCGUUCUCGAGAGUGAUCAUUUUUCGCGUAAUUUAAAUUUAUAUGAUAUAACCCGAGUAUUGUGCCAAAAUGGGAAAUCCGUGGGUAGGAGUGCGUUCGGUGCGACGAUCGCGUGUCGUGGAAAAUUGCGCGAAUUCUCUGAUUAUAGACUGAAACUGCUACGACCUUUCGCAAUGCUAAUCUUGCGUAUUAUUAAUUGCCGUCGUUGCGGAUAAAAGUAGUUCAACGGGGGUGAUUGAAAUCCGAUUAUACUGGAAGUGUACCGAAAUGUGGCGGUUACAAAUUUGGGGUAGACGUGAAAUAUUUCUAAAUAAAUCGUUAUAAUUAAUUUUAUAAUCAAAUGUGUCCACUGUGAAAUAAGUAACGCUUAAAGUUUCUUCUAAUUGACCUCGACUCGCCAUCUCAGCGCUAUUUUCUACAGCAUGAUAAUAUCCGUUCGAUACGUACGAGGAAACUACAAUAGGAAGCAAAAGAAAAAAA
Molecule: long non-coding RNA, 1501 nt
Organism: Wasmannia auropunctata (little fire ant)
Lineage: Eukaryota; Metazoa; Arthropoda; Insecta; Hymenoptera; Formicidae
Exons: 2
Source: RefSeq, a predicted model, not a curated record